RNAcentral lists this long non-coding RNA (1030 nucleotides) under Anas platyrhynchos platyrhynchos (common mallard). Its description in RNAcentral is "lncRNA (ENSAPLG00000016621.1)". The record is from RNAcentral. Lineage: Eukaryota; Metazoa; Chordata; Aves; Anseriformes; Anatidae.
GGGGGGGGUCCAGGGGUGGGGGCCACAGAGGGGGAGCCCAGGACUGCUCGGCGAGCUAAUGCUCGCAAGUGGCCGGCGGGGAUGAAUUCCCCCAGGACAUGCGAUAACGCGACUCUGAGCGAGGCAUGGAUGCUGAACCCGGCGGAUUGAGCCCCCCCCCCACCCCCGGUCCUGGGCUGGGGGCACGGCGGUGCUCGGCCGGGAGGUGCCGAACCGGGGUGCGCAGCAGCCUCCGGGGGAGCUGGCGCCGGCAGGGCUCGUGUGCGGGCUGCCGGGGCCGGGACACGCGGUGCCCGGUGUCUCGUAGCGUGCACGUCUCCAUCAAAGGGAAAUAAAGGCGUGCACAGCCCCCAUCUCUUCCCAAAAUCUUUAUAUACAAACGUGGAUAUUUAUUUGAACUACGGAAAUAUUUGAAAUACAGGCAGCACUUUAUGGACGCCUUCCGUCCAGGGAGAGUUACAGCUAAAUCAAAUCACAUAAAGCCACGGAGCCGCUCCGGAGCUGUGCCCCGGGUUGGGAGCAGCACAACCCACCCCCAGGGGGGCUGCCCGGGUGCCCUCCGCCGGUUCCCUCCAUGUUUCGCUCCGGGGCAGCUCGUCCUGCUCACGGCGGUCCUGCUCCUGCAGUUGGGUUUCUUUAUAUUUAUUUUUCCCCUUCGUAAUUGCUAAAAAAAAAAAGGCAAAAAUCACCAGGUUCACUCAACAAAGUGUCUACUGGCCCGAGACGCAGCUUUUUCCAGGAGCAAACCCUUCGGGGUGCAAAGCAAAGCCCAUUUUAUCCAGAAAAAAAAUAAUAAUAAUAGUGAAGCGCCGCAUUUUUCUGGGGGGGGUCCUCGUCGCUGGCUGUGCUCCCACGCGUGUCCCCCGUGUUUCACCUGGAAUCCCUGCCGGGACAGCUCAAGCUUGGGAGAAAUGGAAGCCGGCUAGAGUAGGGCUCGAGAGAGCAGGCGAAUUUGAAAAAAAGCCUUUCAAAAUCCGCGGGAAAGGGCCCGAAUUGACAACGAGGAAGAGCUUAAAACUAGCAUUUUUUA